CCCUUAGAUGUUCUGGGCAGCACGCGCGCUACAAUGGUCUUCGCAAACGGAUGCAUUCUCGAAGGAGAAUGCCAAUCUUGGAAUCUAUGCCUUGGUCGGGACAGUUGCUUGCAAUUUUUCGACUCGAACCAGGAAUUCCUUGUAAUCGUGAUUCAUCACAUCACGAUGAAUACGUCCCUGCCCUUUGUACACACCGCCCGUCGCUCCUACCGAUCGAAGAGUUAGGUGAAUUGUUUUGAUCGAUAAGAUUUGACUAUGGUCAACUCUCGUUGUGAAAUUCUGUGAAUCUGACUGUUUAGAGGUAGGAAAAGUCGUAACA
RNAcentral lists this ribosomal RNA (319 nucleotides) under uncultured eukaryote. RNAcentral's name for it is "partial 18S ribosomal RNA". It matches the Rfam family "Eukaryotic small subunit ribosomal RNA", at positions 1470 to 1796 of the family's 1831-position model. The record is from RNAcentral.